RNAcentral lists this ribosomal RNA (492 nucleotides) under uncultured bacterium. Its description in RNAcentral is "partial 16S ribosomal RNA". It matches the Rfam family "Bacterial small subunit ribosomal RNA", at positions 29 to 507 of the family's 1533-position model. The record is from RNAcentral.
AGUGAACGCUGGCGGUAGGCCUAACACAUGCAAGUCGAACGGCAGCACAGUAAGAGCUUGCUCUUACGGGUUGCGAGUGGCGGACGGGUGAGGAAUACAUCGGAAUCUACUUUUUCGUGGGGGAUAACGUAGGGAAACUUACGCUAAUACCGCAUACGACCUACGGGUGAAAGCAGGGGAUCUUCGUACCUUGCGCGAUUGAAUGAGCCGAUGUCGGAUUAGCUAGUUGGCGGGGUAAAGGCCCACCAAGGCGACGAUCCGUAGCUGGUGUGAGAGGAUGAUCAGCCACCCUGGAACUGAGACACGGUCCAGACUCCUAAGGGAGGCAGCAGUGGGGAAUAUUGGACAAUGGGCGCAAGCCUGAUCCAGCCAUACCGAGUGGGUGAAGAAGGCCUUCGGGUUGUAAAGCCCUUUUGUUGGGAAAGAAAAGCAGCAGGUUAAUACCCAGCUGUUCUGACGGUAACCAAAGAAUAAGCACCGGCUAACUUCGUG